Molecule: ribosomal RNA, 254 nt
Filed under: uncultured bacterium
Lineage: Bacteria
Description: partial 16S ribosomal RNA
Rfam family: Bacterial small subunit ribosomal RNA
Source: RNAcentral
UACGUAGGGGGCGAGCGUUGUCCGGAUUUAUUGGGCGUAAAGAGCUCGUAGGCGGUUUGGCAAGUCGGGUGUGAAAACUCCGGGCUCAACUCGGAGACGCCACUCGAUACUGCCAUGACUCGAGUCUGGUAGGGGAGUGCGGAAUUCCUGGUGUAGCGGUGAAAUGCGCAGAUAUCAGGAGGAACACCGGUGGCGAAGGCGGUUCUCUGGGCCUGUACUGACGCUGAGGAACGAAAGCGUGGGGAGCGAACAGG